GUAUCGGGAAACCGGUAUAGUGGCGAACGGGCGAGUAACGCGAUGGUGACCUGCCCCGAAGUGGGGGACAACAGCUCGAAAGGGCUGCUAAUACCCCAUGUGGCCUGGAGGGUUAGAUACCUCCAGUUUAAAGGAGUAAUUCGCUUCGGGAGGGGCCUGCGUCCCAUCAGCUAGUUGGUAGGGUAAUGGCCUACCAAGGCUUCGACGGGUAGGGGACCUGAGAGGGUGGCCCCCCACAAUGGAACUGAAACACGGUCCAUACACCUACGGGUGGCAGCAGUAGGGAAUAUUGCACAAUGGGCGAAAGCCUGAUGCAGCAACGCCGCGUGUACGACGAAGGCCUUCGGGUCGUAAAGUACUUUUCGGGGAGAUGAGGAAGGACAGUAUCCCCGGAAUAAGGAUCGGCUAACUACGUGCCAGCAGCCGCGGUAAAACGUAGGAUCCGAGCGUUAUCCGAAUUUACUGGGCGUAAAGCGCGUGCAGGCGGCGCGGUAAGUUGGAUGUGAAAUCUCCUGGCUCAACUGGGAGAGGUCGUUCAAUACUGCCGUGCUCGAGGAUGGUAGAGGGAGGUGGAAUUCCCGGUGUAGUGGUGAAAUGCGUAGAUAUCGGGAGGAACACCAGUGGCGAAGGCGGCCUCCUGGACCAUUCCUGACGCUCAGACGCGAAAGCUAGGGUAGCGAACGGGAUUAGAAACCCCGGUAGUCCUAGCCGUAAACGAUGU
RNAcentral lists this ribosomal RNA (721 nucleotides) under uncultured Chloroflexota bacterium. RNAcentral describes it as "bacterial SSU rRNA". It matches the Rfam family "Bacterial small subunit ribosomal RNA", at positions 69 to 812 of the family's 1533-position model. Lineage: Bacteria; Bacillati; Chloroflexota. The record is from RNAcentral.